RNAcentral lists this ribosomal RNA (253 nucleotides) under uncultured bacterium. RNAcentral's name for it is "partial 16S ribosomal RNA". It matches the Rfam family "Bacterial small subunit ribosomal RNA", at positions 524 to 776 of the family's 1533-position model. The record is from RNAcentral.
UACGUAGGUGACAAGCGUUGUCCGGAUUUACUGGGCGUAAAGAGCGCGCAGGCGGUCGUUCAAGUCGAGUGUGAAAGCCCCCGGCUCAACUGGGGAGGGUCAUUCGAUACUGAUCGACUCGAAGGCAGGAGAGGGUAGUGGAAUUCCCGGUGUAGUGGUGAAAUGCGUAGAUAUCGGGAGGAACACCAGUGGCGAAGGCGACUACCUGGCCUGUUCUUGACGCUGAGGCGCGAAAGCUAGGGGAGCGAACGGG